Long non-coding RNA from Nomascus leucogenys (northern white-cheeked gibbon), 101 nucleotides. RefSeq lists it as uncharacterized. The transcript has 3 exons. The record is from RefSeq and is a predicted model, not a curated record. NCBI's taxonomy places the organism in Eukaryota, Metazoa, Chordata, Mammalia, Primates, Hylobatidae.
UAUGUACACUGAUAUUUUUUAAAAUUAGUAAACUAUAUUUUUAGAGCAUUUUUAGGCUCACAGCAAAAUGGAGCAGGAAGUACAGAGAGUUUCCAUGUGCC